RNAcentral lists this transfer RNA (77 nucleotides) under Deltaproteobacteria bacterium GWA2_38_16. Its description in RNAcentral is "tRNA-Ile". It matches the Rfam family "tRNA". Rfam says of the family: Transfer RNA (tRNA) molecules are approximately 80 nucleotides in length. Their secondary structure includes four short double-helical elements and three loops (D, anti-codon, and T loops). The record is from RNAcentral. Lineage: Bacteria; Deltaproteobacteria.
GGGCCUAUAGCUCAGUUGGUUAGAGCGCACCCCUGAUAAGGGUGAGGUCGGAAGUUCGACUCUUCCUGGGCCCACCA